RNAcentral lists this ribosomal RNA (446 nucleotides) under uncultured Pseudomonas sp. RNAcentral describes it as "bacterial SSU rRNA". It matches the Rfam family "Bacterial small subunit ribosomal RNA", at positions 937 to 1382 of the family's 1533-position model. Lineage: Bacteria; Pseudomonadati; Pseudomonadota; Gammaproteobacteria; Pseudomonadales; Pseudomonadaceae. The record is from RNAcentral.
GCAUGUGGUUUAAUUUCGAAGCAACGCGAAGAACCUUACCAGGCCUUGACAUGCAGAGAACUUUCCAGAGAUGGAUUGGUGCCUUCGGGAACUCUGACACAGGUGCUGCGUGGCUGUCGUCAGCUCGUGUCGUGAGAUGUUGGGUUAAGUCCGUAACGAGCGCAACCCUUGUCCUUAGUUACCAGCACGUUAUGGUGGGCACUCUAAGGAGACUGCCGGUGACAAACCGGAGGAAGGUGGGGAUGACGUCAAGUCAUCAUGGCCCUUACGGCCUGGGCUACACACGUGCUACAAUGGUCGGUACAAAGGGUUGCCAAGCCGCGAGGUGGAGCUAAUCCCAUAAAACCGAUCGUAGUCCGGAUCGCAGUCUGCAACUCGACUGCGUGAAGUCGGAAUCGCUAGUAAUCGUGAAUCAGAAUGUCACGGUGAAUACGUUCCCGGGCCUU